RNAcentral lists this ribosomal RNA (724 nucleotides) under uncultured Neisseria sp. RNAcentral's name for it is "bacterial SSU rRNA". It matches the Rfam family "Bacterial small subunit ribosomal RNA", at positions 62 to 779 of the family's 1533-position model. Lineage: Bacteria; Pseudomonadati; Pseudomonadota; Betaproteobacteria; Neisseriales; Neisseriaceae. The record is from RNAcentral.
UCGGACGGCAGCGGAGGUGCUUGCACCUGCCGGCGAGUGGCGAACGGGUGAGUAACAUAUUGGAAUGUACCGAGUAAUGGGGGAUAACCAAUCGAAAGAUUGGCCAAUACCGCAUACGCUCUGAGGAGGAAAGCAGGGGACCUUCGGGCCUUGCGUUAUUCGAGCGGCCAAUAUCUGAUUAGCUAGUUGGUAAGGUAACGGCUUACCAAGGCGACGAUCUUUAGGGGGCCUGAGAGGGUGAUCCCCCACACUGGGACUGAGACACGGCCCAGACUCCUACGGGAGGCAGCAGUGGGGAAUUUUGGACAAUGGGCGCAAGCCUGAUCCAGCCAUGCCGCGUGUCUGAAGAAGGCCUUCGGGUUGUAAAGGACUUUUGUCAGGGAAGAAAAGGGCGGGGUUAAUACCCCUGUCUGAUGACGGUACCUGAAGAAUAAGCACCGGCUAACUACGUGCCAGCAGCCGCGGUAAUACGUAGGGUGCGAGCGUUAAUCGGAAUUACUGGGCGUAAAGCGGGCGCAGACGGUUACUUAAGCAGGAUGUGAAAUCCCCGGGCUCAACCUGGGAACUGCGUUCUGAACUGGGUGACUAGAGUGUGUCAGAGGGAGGUAGAAUUCCACGUGUAGCAGUGAAAUGCGUAGAGAUGUGGAGGAAUACCGAUGGCGAAGGCAGCCUCCUGGGAUAACACUGACGUUCAUGCCCGAAAGCGUGGGUAGCAAACAGGAUU